AUUGAACGCUGGCGGAACGCUAUACACAUGCAAGUCGAACGGCAGCACGGACUUCGGUCUGGUGGCGAGUGGCGAACGGGUGAGUAAUGUAUCGGAACGUGCCCAGUCGUGGGGGAUAACGUAGUGAAAAUUACGCUAAUACCGCAUACGAUCUAUGGAUGAAAGCGGGGGAUCGCAAGACCUCGCGCGCUUGGAGCGGCCGAUAUCAGAUUAGGUAGUUGGUGGGGUAAAGGCCCACCAAGCCAACGAUCUGUAGCUGGUCUGAGAGGACGACCAGCCACACUGGAACCGAGACACGGUCCAGACUCCUACGGGAGGCAGCAGUGGGGAAUUUUGGACAAUGGGCGAAAGCCUGAUCCAGCCAUUCCGCGUGCAGGAUGAAGGCCCUCGGGUUGUAAACUGCUUUUGUACAGAACGAAAAGGUUUCUACUAAUACUAGGAGCUCACGACGGUACUGUAAGAAUAAGCACCGGCUAACUACGUGCCAGCAGCCGCCGUAA
Molecule: ribosomal RNA, 500 nt
Filed under: uncultured bacterium
Lineage: Bacteria
Description: partial 16S ribosomal RNA
Rfam family: Bacterial small subunit ribosomal RNA
Source: RNAcentral